UAUAUAUAUAUAUAUAUAUAUAUAUAUAUAUAUUCACUUAAACUGAGUGAGAUGAACCAGGAUAAAAUUAGAAAAAAGGAUCUCUGAUUUGAAGUACAUGCGAGUGUGUGGUUCUUACUUUUCUUUAUCUCCUUUUAAGUUAUGUAAUAAUAUCAUUUAUCUUGAAUAGUGUCGUCAUCUUCAUGAAUUCAUUACAAAUAUAGAUUCCAUGGGGAGCUUUUGUGUUGAGUGAUACAGUGUACUUGGAUAGUACUAAAUGACACUUCUUGAGCAUCUAAAGGUAUUGUAGGUUUUCCGUCAUUUAUGUGGUUAUUACUAACGUCUUCAGGAAAAGUUAUUGAUCAUGUUACUCAUGUGGCACUUUAUUUUUUGAUUCCCUAAAAUUCGUAGUUUAGAGUAAAAUCUGAUCUCCCUAUUCCUUCCAUAUUUGUAAAAUCAAUCUUUUAACAACAAAACAUCGCACCCUUGAGAAGAACAUAUUUUCACUAUCAGACUCUGAUAAUUAGCAGACUGUUGUUCUUACUUUAUUUUAAUCUUUUUCUUUCAAACAAUCAAUUUUACAUUCUGUUCCACAUGGGAAGAUGAUAGUUCUUGAUUUAUUUGCUGAUGUUUAACCAAUAUGGAAAUCAUCCUCUCAAUUCUAUGGCACUCUUUAUAUCUGGUAAUCAGAGGGUUCUGUGUAGAAACAACUCUGUAUAAUUUGGUUCUUGAAUAUGGUAUUUCACGUAUCAUCAAGCUUGCAUAUCAAUCAACUAUUUUUCUAAUGUUAGUCUAACAAAACAUAAAGUUGUAUGCUGCACGACUUUGUGGGCAACAUUGAAAUGUAUGGAGUGUUAGAUGUAGUGACUUCUAGUCGUUUUGAUGCCCGCACAAGUGAGAACUCAACAAUGGUAACAUCUCCUACCAUUUAAUUAAAAAUAUUUUGUUAUAUACAUUUAGAACCUUAAGCUUUUUAUGAAUUAUGAUUCUAUAUCCUCUUAAAACUGUUGCAUACUAUGAUUUUAUUUGAGUUUUUAAUCCAUUUCCUUGAAUUUGUCGAAUGUCCAUUACUAUUUUUUUUGCUUUCUGGAUACGCUUUGGCAAGUUGGUGUUGGAAUGUGCAUGGAAGGAAUAGAACACAAUCUAGUUGUCUAUGAGCUGAUGCACGAAAUGGCAUUUAGAAGGGGUAAUAACUUCAGGAAGAUGUUGUUGAUUAAAUUUUGAUAUAUAGAGGACAAAAGUACACUCGAUUUAUCGUAUAGAACGAUAAAGAGUUUUUGUGCAAUUAUCAUAAAUGUUGUUUGAAUACAUUUGGUUUUGUGGAAUGUAUUGCUACUAGAGAUCUUGAAGUAAUUGAUUUCUAUAUGUAUUUCUAUAUGUAUGGGACAUGUUGAAGUUUAUUUAAUUCAAAAUAUAUAAUUUUGAAUUAUUUAUAAA
This is a long non-coding RNA of Solanum lycopersicum (tomato), 1416 nucleotides long. RefSeq lists it as uncharacterized. NCBI's taxonomy places the organism in Eukaryota, Viridiplantae, Streptophyta, Magnoliopsida, Solanales, Solanaceae. The record is from RefSeq and is a predicted model, not a curated record.